AGGCGACGACGGGUAGCCGGCCUGAGAGGGCGACCCGGCCACACUGGGACUGAGACACGGCCCAGACUCGUACGGGAGGCAGCAGUGGGGAAUAUUGCACAAUGGGCGAAAGCCUGAUGCAGCGACGCCGCGUGAGGGAUGACGGCCUUCGGGUUGUAAACCUCUUUCAGCAGGGAAGAAGCGAAAGUGACGGUACCUGCAGAAGAAGCGCCGGCUAACUACGUGCCAGCAGCCGCGGUAAUACGUAGGGCGCAAGCGUUGUCCGGAAUUAUUGGGCGUAAAGAGCUCGUAGGCGGCUUGUCACGUCGGAUGUGAAAGCCCGGGGCUUAACCCCGGGUCUGCAUUCGAUACGGGCUAGCUAGAGUGUGGUAGGGGAGAUCGGAAUUCCUGGUGUAGCGGUGAAAUGCGCAGAUAUCAGGAGGAACACCGGUGGCGAAGGCGGAUCUCUGGGCCAUUACUGACGCUGAGGAGCGAAAGCGUGGGGAGCGAACAGGAUUAGAUACCCUGGUAGUCCACGCCGUAAACGUUGGGAACUAGGUGUUGGCGACAUUCCACGUCGUCGGUGCCGCAGCUAACGCAUUAAGUUCCCCGCCUGGGGAGUACGGCCGCAAGGCUAAAACUCAAAGGAAUUGACGGGGGCCCGCACAAGCAGCGGAGCAUGUGGCUUAAUUCGACGCAACGCGAAGAACCUUACCAAGGCUUGACAUAUACCGGAAACGGCUAGAGAU
RNAcentral lists this ribosomal RNA (728 nucleotides) under Streptomyces sp. RNAcentral describes it as "bacterial SSU rRNA". It matches the Rfam family "Bacterial small subunit ribosomal RNA", at positions 271 to 1007 of the family's 1533-position model. The record is from RNAcentral. Lineage: Bacteria; Bacillati; Actinomycetota; Actinomycetes; Kitasatosporales; Streptomycetaceae.